RNAcentral lists this long non-coding RNA (297 nucleotides) under Trifolium pratense (red clover). RNAcentral describes it as "long non-coding RNA (TPRA_LNC008257)". Lineage: Eukaryota; Viridiplantae; Streptophyta; Magnoliopsida; Fabales; Fabaceae. The record is from RNAcentral.
GUCAACAAAAACAUAAAAAGUUGUUAAAAAAAAAAACACAAAAUGAACAAAACCCAUAUUGUUGUUAUUGUUUUGAUGAUUGGAUCUGGAUCUGGAUUUGUUUUGAUGUUAGUGUUUGUUAAAUGAUUUCAUCAAAUUGUGGACAUGUUUAUUUGUAAAAGUCUAAUGAUUUCAUCAAGUUGGUUUUGAUUUUGUUGAUGAUUUGAUGAGUUUUUUGUGGUUGCCAUUGUUGAUGAUGUUUUGGGGUUUGGAAAGUGAAAGGAAGAGAGUGAAGGGUUGUUGAAGAUGAGGAGGUUA